GUUGUGGAACAUGGCGGCAAACUGUCUGUGGGUAAGGAGGAACAAAACGGUCCAAAUACCAGUGCGGUGUUGUCAUGAAGAGCCUUCAAGCCUGCGUAAAGCAAGAAUCAAAGAGGGAGAGGGGGAAAAAAAGCCCGAACAGGUGAAGAGGAGCCUCCUGCCUGGAAAUCAAAUCAUCUGCUUAAUGUAUGGGCUUAUCUUGAUUGGCAGAUGGCCGUGCGAAAGCGGAGACAUAUAGCUGUGCGGCAAAGGCGACCGGGGCUGGACUAUGUGCACGGGUCUGGACGAAGAGAGGCCAGGGAGCGGAGGGGUGGUGGUGGGGGGCCCAGUGUCUGGGGGCCAGUUUCCCCUCGGGACCACUCGAAAGGACUCCGGCGACCUUCCGACUUCCUCCUCCGGCAGGUCGCGCCGAGAGGUCAGGGGUCGUUUGAAGCAACAGGGUGUGAACGUGUUACCAGACAAAUGGGAUCAAACAACAACUGGACUCUCUUGAACAUGGAGGUGGUUUGAAAUUCCCUAAUUCGGAAUGUUUUGGAUCUGACCUCGUCCGUGCUUAUUUAGUGUUUGAAUCCAAGAGGACAUGCAGAAGAUGAUUUAGUGGGAGAGAAACAGCUUCCAAAGUUGAACACGCUGUACGUUGCACGAUAAACGUCUCUCAGAUCUCAGAGACACGUCGGCCACUCUGUAACAAAAGCGAAACAACAAACCCACGAUACGGACGGUCUCGCACGGCAUCAAGAUUCAACGCAUGCGUGUGCCACCCGAGCCGAUCUGUAUUUACGCUGCCGGCUAAUUGACAGGCUGCGAAAUAAAUGUCUCCCUUUGUCCAGAACAAUGUUCAGAAUUUGCCGCCUUCAUUCCAAUCAGUUUCUCAGUUCCUGAAAAACAGCGGCGAGUUACAUUGUCUUAAUUAGGAACAUAGGCUCGCUUUACAGCGACGUGUGGGAGGACCCGGAGGUUGAAGUGCUCCGCGAAUGCAAUGUGCAUCAUCAUCCUAAUAAAAUAUAACCCCUGAAAAUUAACUCUGCUCGACCUGAGGCACGCAGAACGACGGGGUACAAUGAUGCAGGUUUCGGUUGCGUGUGUGCGUGUGUGCAUGCUGAUGUGUGCGUGUUUCUAUAUAAGUGCAUUCGCAAAUGUGAAGCCACAAAGGAAGCAAUUACGGAAACAAAAUGUUUGUUAUUGUAUUAAUUCCGUUAUUGGCGAGGAAAGGAGAAAAUCCCACUGAGGACGAAAAAAGCAAACAAACAAACAAACAAAAAAAAAAAAACGUGAUGCAGCCUGCAGCUCCUUUGUCCUAAGUCUGAGCCCCACAUUGGCCCAAAGUGCAUCAAAGUGUCAGCUACUCAAACAUGAAAAAUGGAUGAAGACAACGGUGCAAUUCUCACAUUCUUUCUAAUAAACUGUCAAUCAAGCGGGCGCCGUGAAUGACGCUAAUAUCAUAUGAGGCAGCAUCCCAUAUCAAAGAUCUCAUCGAUGAUCAUUCCCCCCAUGGCUCAAUCUGAGGCCUGUCCUCCCCCUCGUAUUAUCGCCAUCAUCAUUUGGACAUGAAAGGAGAGAAACAAGUGCUGCGCCAUUGCCAAGGAGAAAACCUUGAUCUCGGGGCAUUUGCAUUCGCCACCUUGUCCCGCUGGAUGUAUGAACGAGUCGCCGAGGCGCUCUGUGAUUGGACGCCGGUGCAAAAACACUCUGCUAAUGCUCAAAACAAGCAGCCCCCCCCCCCCCCCUCCGCCCUCCUCCUCCUCCUCCC
Molecule: long non-coding RNA, 1750 nt
Organism: Mugil cephalus (flathead mullet)
Lineage: Eukaryota; Metazoa; Chordata; Actinopteri; Mugiliformes; Mugilidae
Exons: 4
Source: RefSeq, a predicted model, not a curated record